UUACUUACCUGGCAGGAGAGAUACCAGGAUCACAAAGCUGGUUUUCCCAGGGCGAGGCUUAUCCAUUGCACCCCGGGUGUGCUGACCCCUGCGAUUUCCCCAAAUGUGGGAAACUCGACUGCAUAAUUUGUGGUAGUGGGGGACUGCGUUCGUGCUCUCCCCUG
RNAcentral lists this small nuclear RNA (164 nucleotides) under Echinops telfairi (small Madagascar hedgehog). RNAcentral's name for it is "U1 spliceosomal RNA (ENSETEG00000022619.1)". It matches the Rfam family "U1 spliceosomal RNA". From Rfam's summary of the family: U1 is a small nuclear RNA (snRNA) component of the spliceosome (involved in pre-mRNA splicing). Lineage: Eukaryota; Metazoa; Chordata; Mammalia; Afrosoricida; Tenrecidae. The record is from RNAcentral.